AUGCUUACUUCAGCAGCACAUAUAGUAAAACCGGAACAAUGAGGAGAUUAGCAUGGCCCCGGCAUAAGAGCGACAUGCAAAUUUGUGAAGCAUUUCAUAUUUUU
Molecule: small nuclear RNA, 104 nt
Organism: Nannospalax galili (Upper Galilee mountains blind mole rat)
Lineage: Eukaryota; Metazoa; Chordata; Mammalia; Rodentia; Spalacidae
Source: Ensembl